RNAcentral lists this unclassified non-coding RNA (306 nucleotides) under plant metagenome. RNAcentral's name for it is "partial contains 5.8S ribosomal RNA, internal transcribed spacer 2, and large subunit ribosomal RNA". The stretch from base 1 to 105 matches the Rfam family "5.8S ribosomal RNA", at positions 50 to 154 of the family's 154-position model. The record is from RNAcentral.
GAAAUGCGAUAAGUAGUGUGAAUUGCAGAAUUCAGUGAAUCAUCGAAUCUUUGAACGCACAUUGCGCCCCUUGGUAUUCCAUGGGGCAUGCCUGUUCGAGCGUCAUCUACACCCUCAAGCUCUGCUUGGUGUUGGGCGUCUUUGUCCCGCCUCCGCGCGCGGACUCGCCCCAAAUUCAUUGGCAGCGGUCCUUGCCUCCUCUCGCGCAGCACAUUGCGCUUCUCGAGGUGUUGCGGCCCGCGUCCAGAAAGCAAUCGUUACCGUCUUUGACCUCGGAUCAGGUAGGGAUACCCGCUGAUCUUAAGC